RNAcentral lists this long non-coding RNA (957 nucleotides) under Triticum aestivum (bread wheat). RNAcentral's name for it is "long non-coding RNA (TAES_LNC014523)". Lineage: Eukaryota; Viridiplantae; Streptophyta; Magnoliopsida; Poales; Poaceae. The record is from RNAcentral.
CACGCCAUGAAUUAGUCACAAUGGCUAUGUGAUAUAUUUUGCCCUUCUAAUGUGCACUGGCCCCCUUGUUUCUUUGAGUGCUAAAGUAUUUUGGUAAAAAAAAACAAUUCUUGGGUAGAGGCUGCUUCAUAGUAGUUUUCUAGCGCCAAAUAUUACAAACCCUUCUCGAAGUUCUUUUGAUACAUCACAAUUUUGCAUGAGAGUGGCGUUUUGGCUCCUAGGUGCAUAUGCACCCAUUGUCGAAAUCCAAAUUCCUAGAAGUUGAAAAAUUCGAAACAAAAAUCCCGCGUGUAUAUCCGGACAUUUUAUGUGCUUUCACAAGGUUUCGGUGAAAAACGACGUUUUUUGUGGCUUGUGUAAAAAAGACAAUUUCUGAUGCUUCAUUCUAACUAUUCACGAGGCAUUUCUUUAUCUUUUUUACACAAGCCACAAAAAACGUCGUUUUUCACUGAAACCUUGUGAACGCACAUAAAAUGUCCGGAUAUACACGCGGGAUUUUUGUUUCGAAUUUUUUAACUUCUCGGAAUUUGGAUUUCGACAAUGGGUGCAUAUGCACCUAGGAGCCAAAGGCAAUUACCGAUUUUGCAUGCAGUAUCUCAUUCUCGGGGUGCUGUACAGAAGUGUGUACUCUGAUAGAUGUUAUCUGUUGAAACAUACAACGUACGUACCAAAACGCUGCCAAGAUUUGGUUCAUCUCUAGUUAUGUAUAUAAUGUAUAAAUAAGUACCAAGAAGUGCUUAUUGUCCGCCCUAAUUAUGCCUAUGUGAGCUCGUUAGGUUUUGAUCAAUGGUAUGCCAGUAUGUGUUCAUGUACCCGGCAAUGUACAUUUUGCAUGUGUAGAGGUACACUAUCGGUUUACAUAGAAGCAGUAACAGUUUUAUGUUGAACCCUUGUACCGACCGAACACCGAACGUUUGUUGGAAGACAUAGCAAUUGCGAAGGAUUUGAAUGGCAAUU